AUAACACUACAAGACUCUUUCCAGGNCCUGUAACUGGAAUGAGUCCACUUUACAUUUUUAGUGAAGAGCCACUGGAGGGCAAGUCUGGUGCCAGCAGCCACAGUAAUUCCAGCUGCAA
This 118-nucleotide non-coding RNA is filed under the name Neotoma lepida (desert woodrat). RNAcentral's name for it is "Eukaryotic small subunit ribosomal RNA". It matches the Rfam family "Eukaryotic small subunit ribosomal RNA", at positions 477 to 594 of the family's 1831-position model. The record is from Rfam by way of RNAcentral. Lineage: Eukaryota; Metazoa; Chordata; Mammalia; Rodentia; Cricetidae.